UUAAUAGCCGUGGUAUUUUGACCAUGCUAAGGUAGCAUAAUCAUUUGGUUUUUAAUUGGGAUCUCGUAUGAAAGGUUGAACGAAAGCUUUUCUGUAUCAUUUUAUUUCUGUAAAAUUUAUUUUUCAAGUGAAGAAACUUGGUUGAAAGAAAAGGACAAGAAGACCCUGUCGAGCUUUUAUAAGUGCAUUAAUUUAGAAGGUGGUGUUAUUAUUUUAGUUGGGGCAACUAAGGAAAAUAACUUCUUUAAUUUAGUGAUUGGUAGGUAUAAAAGAUAAAGAAAUUUUUAUAAGAGAGCAAGUUACCGCAGGGAUAACAGCGUAAUUUUUUUUGAAAGACCGUAUUGGAAGAGAAGAUUGCGACCUCGAUGUUGGAUUAAAACGUCCUUGGGGGGCAGAAAAUUCAAAGGGUUGGUCUGUUCGACCAUUAAAGUUUUAC
RNAcentral lists this ribosomal RNA (436 nucleotides) under Psilodens balduri. RNAcentral's name for it is "partial 16S ribosomal RNA". It matches the Rfam family "Bacterial large subunit ribosomal RNA", at positions 1924 to 2599 of the family's 2925-position model. The record is from RNAcentral. Lineage: Eukaryota; Metazoa; Mollusca; Caudofoveata; Limifossorida; Limifossoridae.